CGGGUGAGUAACACGUGAGCAACCUGCCUAUGACAGUGGGAUAGCCUCGGGAAACCGGGAUUAAUACCGCAUAAAAUCGUAGAAACACAUGUUUUAACGGUCAAAGAUUUAUCGGUCAUAGAUGGGCUCGCGUCUGAUUAGCUAGUUGGUGAGAUAACAGCCCACCAAGGCGACGAUCAGUAGCCGGUCUGAGAGGAUGAACGGCCACAUUGGAACUGAGACACGGUCCAA
RNAcentral lists this ribosomal RNA (231 nucleotides) under uncultured Eubacteriales bacterium. RNAcentral's name for it is "uncultured Clostridiales bacterium partial 16S ribosomal RNA". It matches the Rfam family "Bacterial small subunit ribosomal RNA", at positions 103 to 334 of the family's 1533-position model. The record is from RNAcentral. Lineage: Bacteria; Bacillati; Bacillota; Clostridia; Eubacteriales.